Molecule: small nucleolar RNA, 81 nt
Organism: Cricetulus griseus (Chinese hamster)
Lineage: Eukaryota; Metazoa; Chordata; Mammalia; Rodentia; Cricetidae
Product: small nucleolar RNA U2-19
Source: Ensembl
GAUCAAUGAUGAAAGUAGUCAAACCUGAGCAUCAAAGGACCUUCCAAUGUGCUUUGAUGUAUGAGCUCCAUAAUGCUGAGA